This 243-nucleotide ribosomal RNA is filed under the name uncultured bacterium. RNAcentral's name for it is "partial 16S ribosomal RNA". It matches the Rfam family "Bacterial small subunit ribosomal RNA", at positions 88 to 334 of the family's 1533-position model. The record is from RNAcentral.
CUGACGAGUGGCGGACGGGUGAGUAAUGCUUGGGAAUCUGGCUUAUGGAGGGGGAUAACUACGGGAAACUGUAGCUAAUACCGCGUAAAAUCUUCGGAUUAAAGGGUGGGACUUUCGAGCCACCUGCCAUAAGAUGAGCCCAAGUGGGAUUAGGUAGUUGGUUAGGUAAAGGCUGACCAAGCCGACGAUCUCUAGUUGGUCUGAGGGGAUGACCAGCCACACUGGAACUGAGACACGGUCCAG